CCUCAUUGCCGUGUGCAAUCAG
Molecule: microRNA, 22 nt
Filed under: Ptychodera flava
Lineage: Eukaryota; Metazoa; Hemichordata; Enteropneusta; Ptychoderidae
Description: Pfl-Mir-4818-P5_5p* (star (passenger))
Source: RNAcentral